RNAcentral lists this ribosomal RNA (1354 nucleotides) under uncultured bacterium. Its description in RNAcentral is "bacterial SSU rRNA". It matches the Rfam family "Bacterial small subunit ribosomal RNA", at positions 28 to 1381 of the family's 1533-position model. The record is from RNAcentral.
AUUGAACGCUGGCGGCAGGCUUAACACAUGCAAGUCGAACGAUGACUAACUAGCUUGCUAGUUAUGAUUAGUGGCGGACGGGUGAGUAACAUUUAGGAAUCUGCCUAGUAGUGGGGGAUAGCUCGGGGAAACUCGAAUUAGUACCGCAUACGACCUACGGGUGAAAGGGGGCGCAAGCUCUUGCUAUUAGAUGAGCCUAAAUCAGAUUAGCUAGUUGGUGGGGUAAAGGCCUACCAAGGCGACGAUCUGUAACUGGUCUGAGAGGAUGAUCAGUCACACCGGAGCUGAGACACGGUCCGGACUCCUACGGGAGGCAGCAGUGGGGAAUAUUGGACAAUGGGGGCAACCCUGAUCCGGCCAUGCCGCGUGUGUGAAGAAGGCCUUUUGGUUGUAGGCACUUUAAGCAGGGAGGAGAGGCUAAUGGUUAAUACCCAUUAGAUUAGACGUUACCUGCAGAAUAAGCACCGGCUAACUCUGUGCCAGCAGCCGCGGUAAUACAGAGGGUGCGAGCGUUAAUCGGAAUUACUGGGCGUAAAGCGAGUGUAGGUGGCUCAUUAAGUCACAUGUGAAAUCCCCGGGCUUAACCUGGGAACUGCAUGUGAUACUGGUGGUGCUAGAAUAUGUGAGAGGGAAGUAGAAUUCCAGGUGUAGCGGUGAAAUGCGUAGAGAUCUGGAGGAAUACCGAUGGCGAAGGCAGCUUCCUGGCAUAAUAUUGACACUGAGAUUCGAAAGCGUGGGUAGCAAACAGGAUUAGAUACCCUGGUAGUCCACGCCGUAAACGAUGUCUACUAGCCGUUGGGGUCCUUGAGACUUUAGUGGCGCAGUUAACGCGAUAAGUAGACCGCCUGGGGAGUACGGCCGCAAGGUUAAAACUCAAAUGAAUUGACGGGGGCCCGCACAAGCGGUGGAGCAUGUGGUUUAAUUCGAUGCGACGCGAAGAACCUUACCUGGUCUUGACAUAGUGAGAAUCUCUCAGAGAUGAGAGAGUGCCUUCGGGAACUCACAUACAGGUGCUGCAUGGCUGUCGUCAGCUCGUGUCGUGAGAUGUUGGGUUAAGUCCCGCAACGAGCGCAACCCUUUUCCUUAUUUGCCAGCGGGUUAAGCCGGGAACUUUAAGGAUACUGCCAGUGACAAACUGGAGGAAGGCGGGGACGACGUCAAGUCAUCAUGGCCCUUACGACCAGGGCUACACACGUGCUACAAUGGUAGGUACAGAGGGUUGCUACACAGCGAUGUGAUGCUAAUCUCAAAAAGCCUAUCGUAGUCCGGAUUGGAGUCUGCAACUCGACUCCAUGAAGUCGGAAUCGCUAGUAAUCGCAGAUCAGAAUGCUGCGGUGAAUACGUUCCCGGGCCU